Molecule: long non-coding RNA, 540 nt
Organism: Rhinopithecus roxellana (golden snub-nosed monkey)
Lineage: Eukaryota; Metazoa; Chordata; Mammalia; Primates; Cercopithecidae
Exons: 3
Source: RefSeq, a predicted model, not a curated record
CAUCAGUCGGCCAAUAGACCCGGAACCUGAGAGAUCGGAAUCCGGGUCCACUCCGCAGAGGCCCGAGCGGGCUCGCGAGGGAACCGGUUCUGCGGGUCUGGCCGGAGCCUGGUCUCCCUGGGACCACCAGAGUGAGUUCAGCUAACCGAAAGUCUUCAAGGGGAGGAACUGAGGACCCAGCAUCUCCUGGCAGUGUACCUGGAUGAAGUCCGAGGGGAGUGCUCUCCGAAGGACACCAGCCCAAUGGAGAUGGUCUGCAGGAAUGGCCGGAUGGCAGGUGUGAACUGUGGAGAGACGCGGCUGUGUCACCUACCGCUCAGGAGAGGGAUGGGGACAGGGCAGGAGCGAGGCACAGGGAUGUGUGGGGAAGACACGUUCAUUGAGUAAAUGUUUCAUGAGCUCCUACUGUGUGCUGGGCAUAGCCCUCACCUGGUUCAAGGACCUGAUGUUCUCAAACGGAAAACAAAUGAUCAGCAGAUAAGCAAAGCCAUGCACAGUAUCACAACAAGGAAUGACGAAUGAUUUGAAAAAAAAAAAAAA